Molecule: ribosomal RNA, 253 nt
Filed under: uncultured bacterium
Lineage: Bacteria
Description: partial 16S ribosomal RNA
Rfam family: Bacterial small subunit ribosomal RNA
Source: RNAcentral
UACGUAGGGUGCAAGCGUUGUCCGGAAUUAUUGGGCGUAAAGAGCGUGUAGGCGGCCCGAUUAGUCCGCUGUGAAAGUCCAGGGCUCAACCCUGGAAUGCCGGUGGAUACUGUCGGGCUAGAGUCCGGAAGGGGCGAGUGGAAUUCCUGGUGUAGCGGUGGAAUGCGCAGAUAUCAGGAGGAACACCAAUAGCGAAGGCAGCUCGCUGGGACGGUACUGACGCUGAGGUGCGAAAGCGUGGGGAGCAAACAGG